This 60-nucleotide ribosomal RNA is filed under the name Bipolaris maydis (southern corn leaf blight pathogen). Its description in RNAcentral is "partial 28S ribosomal RNA". The record is from RNAcentral. Lineage: Eukaryota; Fungi; Ascomycota; Dothideomycetes; Pleosporales; Pleosporaceae.
UUGACCUCGGAUCAGGUAGGGAUACCCGCUGAACUUAAGCAUAUCAUAGGGGGGAGGAAA